Molecule: ribosomal RNA, 497 nt
Filed under: uncultured bacterium
Lineage: Bacteria
Description: partial 16S ribosomal RNA
Rfam family: Bacterial small subunit ribosomal RNA
Source: RNAcentral
GAUGAACGCUGGCGGCGUGCCUAAUACAUGCAAGUCGAGCGAACGGACGAGAAGCUUGCUUCUCUGAUGUUAGCGGCGGACGGGUGAGUAACACGUGGAUAACCUACCUAUAAGACUGGGAUAACUUCGGGAAACCGGAGCUAAUACCGGAUAAUAUUUUGAACCGCAUGGUUCAAAAGUGAAAGACGGUCUUGCUGUCACUUAUAGAUGGAUCCGCGCUGCAUUAGCUAGUUGGUAAGGUAACGGCUUACCAAGGCAACGAUGCAUAGCCGACCUGAGAGGGUGAUAGGCCACACUGGAACUGAGACACGGUCCAGGCUCCUGCGGGAGGCAGCAGUAGGGAAUCUUCCGCAAUGGGCGGAAGCCUGACGGAGCAACGCCGCGUGAGUGAUGAAGGUCUUCGGAUCGUAAAACUCUGUUAUUAGGGAAGAACAUAUGUGUAAGUAACUGUGCACAUCUUGACGGUACCUAAUCAGAAAGCCACGGCUAACUACGUG